AUACUUACUGUGGUGUCGGGCCAUCUGGCGAUCAGGAAGCCGGGGCCCCGUACCGAGGCCUCCCAUUGCACUGCGGGUGGCUGAAGUACGCCACUACCCCAAAUUGGGGUAGGCGGGGCAUGUAAUUUUUGGUAGUGGGGCUUGGCGUGCGUGCCAGCCCCUC
Dermacentor silvarum is the source of this 163-nucleotide small nuclear RNA. RefSeq annotates it as U1 spliceosomal RNA. The transcript has a single exon. The record is from RefSeq and is a predicted model, not a curated record. NCBI's taxonomy places the organism in Eukaryota, Metazoa, Arthropoda, Arachnida, Ixodida, Ixodidae.